UACGGGGGGGGUAAGCGUUGUUCGGAAUUACUGGGCGUAAAGGGCGCGUAGGCGGCUGGCUCAGUCGGGCCUGUAAGUGCGGGGCUCAACCCCGUGAUGGGCUCGGGACGGGCUGGCUGGGGCGCGGUCGAGGGAGACGGAAUGCCGGGUGUAGUGGUGAAAUGCGUAGAGAUCCGGCGGAACACCGGUGGUGAAGACGGUCUCCUGGGCCGAGGGCCGACGCUGAGGCGCGAGAGCGUGGGGAGCGAACCGG
RNAcentral lists this ribosomal RNA (253 nucleotides) under uncultured bacterium. RNAcentral's name for it is "partial 16S ribosomal RNA". It matches the Rfam family "Bacterial small subunit ribosomal RNA", at positions 524 to 776 of the family's 1533-position model. The record is from RNAcentral.